RNAcentral lists this long non-coding RNA (1786 nucleotides) under Hermetia illucens (black soldier fly). RNAcentral describes it as "uncharacterized LOC119653063, transcript variant X2". The record is from RNAcentral. Lineage: Eukaryota; Metazoa; Arthropoda; Insecta; Diptera; Stratiomyidae.
CAGCGAAAAUAGUACAGUGGUAUACAGAAGGUGGAGUCUUAAUCUUCCCUUUCAUACUUAGGUCUGAUUGCGAAUUUUUUUGAAAUAAUCCCUUACACAAUUGAAUAAUAGUCAGUCUUUCCUAGAAAAAGGUACACAAUUCUAGAUCAAGAUGGGCUUGAAAGCGAGAGUUUGCUUACUUCGUGUUUAGUUUAGCGAAUAUGUCUGUCCCCCAAAUGUCUAAUUUAAUUUAUGUUUGUCAAGCAUGGAAUUUCGUAAUUAUGUGUCUCAAUCGCAAUUAAAUGAACCUCAAUAUUAUCCCAUGCGUCGCACAUUACGCGUUUCUUUACUAGAAGUUCGAACUGUAAAACGCGAUCUAGCCAGUUGCUACAAUGCUGCUUGGAACUACGCAUCAAAACAACGCUACGUGAUUCCACAGCUCCAUUUCAGGUGGAAUCUAACUACGCAUUAUGAACUUGCUAACGCUAGAACGCUAGAGUUAAAACAAGAAGCAGAAAGUAUACAGCAAUGCAAAAGAUUCAUGUUCGAAUGAAUUGAGGCAAAUGAGAAAAAACAACGAUUGCCGCAUCAUGUUCACUUUUUUGGAGGUUGGUGACGUUAUUUUCAUAAGCAACUUUCAAGACGUACUCGAAUGCGUCGCAGUUGAAUCAUUCGGUAAUUAUUUUGCUGAGCAUAGCAGAGUGAAUGCUGUAAACAUUUAUAACAAUAGAAAUCUAAAUUCAUUAUGAAUGUUGUUAUUUGGCUUCACUUUGAGUGAUCAGAAUUAGAGUGCAAUCUGGCAAAGGAGUUCGAGGGUCGACCCGAUAUUUUUGGACCUGAUAUUCUAUGAAAAGGAUUGACAAAAGGAUUUUCGGAUGAACCUUCCCCAUGGCAGUUAGAUACGUAUUUCGGAAGCCAGUUUCUCUUGCUCAGGACUCAACGCUUUGGAUUUAGUUAGAUUGGGAGCGAAAGAUGAGGAUUGAAGUCGGAGUUUGUGACUAAGUUACAAGGACCUGACACUUGAAAAACACUUUUGGCAGAUAUAUAUCAUAAGUUGAGGAACAAGGUAGAGUGGCUUGCAAGAGUUAAUAUUGAGGUUCACUCGAGUAUUUCUUCAACGACCCUCUUAAGGAGUAAAAACAUGGGUAAGAUCGAAAUUCAUCUAUGAGGAAUUCUACAGAGUUUGCCAAUUUUAAACUGAUCUAAAGUAAAGGCGUACUUAAAGCGGCUAGUGCACUAGAUUUUUCCGAAUGGAAAUGAGUACUCAGGAAUUAAUCGCGUGAUACCCCUUGAGUUUAUGAUCACUAGCUAACAGUUGAUAUUACUGACUGAAGACUGAAUAUUCUGAACAAGAUAGAAAUGGUCCGCAUUGUUGACAACUAUCAAACUUAAUUAGCGAAAAUAUUAGUUAAAUUAGUUAAAAUUAAAAAUUAUCUAGCUAACUAAAAAAAUUAUUCAAAGCAUUAUUUUUUGGGGUGAAUUCGUUGCUACAGGAAAAUGUGGAUAUAUUUUUAAUUAGUUAAUUGUGAGCUUCUUAUAAUGUAUUUCAAUUUCGGCAAGCAUAAUUCACUUAGUAAAGUCAUCGUCUGAGGAACUACAAUAUUCUUCAGAGGAAUUAAUUUUUGCACAGAGAUUAUCAAAAGAAGUAACUGAGUCUACGUGACUUUUCUCCUCAGUAAAAGUAUCUUUCAGGAUGCAUGAUUAUAUUUAUUCUCAUGAUAUUGUGGUCUUUCUCAGUAAAAUAGGUGACCAUUUACAGUGCAGAUUAUUCUUGAAAGAUUUAAAUAGUGUGUGCUCUUCACACAUU